UGCCUUGCAGAAGGAAACUCGUGUGUAUGGUAGCUGCUGGAUUCCAGAGAGCAGAUGAAUUCUCAGGGCGUCUCCUGUCUGUGGGAAGAAGCCGUUGGCCAGGCCACGCUGCGCUCUCCUACAGCACAGUGCAGUCACCGGGUGGUGCUGAUGGUGCCGGUGGCCCUGUGCGCUGACCUGGGGGAUGUCAGAGUAAUGCCCAGCAAACCUCCUCGUGGACCACGGCCAGGCACAGUCUCACGGUUCUGAUUUGCAUCACUCACUUGAUGGCUUUCAGAGAAGUGCACCCCAGGUCUCACUGCACUUCCCCGGCUGCUUCCUGCCCCGGCCCUCUCCUUCUCCCUCACCCUUCGAGAACGAGGGGCCGUGGAUGGGGUGGGAGGAGAAGCAUGCUCCCAGCUGAAAAAGCCAGACAGCAAACAGCCAGACGGACUUCUCUGAACUCGCUGGGAGAGGAGACCAGGAGCCUGGGUGGACAGCUGCGGGCUCCCAGUGUCCACCAGGCCUGCUGUCUCCAGACUGCUUCCCAGUGGACCUCUGUCUGGGAAAGGGCU
This is a non-coding RNA of Ictidomys tridecemlineatus (thirteen-lined ground squirrel), 554 nucleotides long. The record is from RefSeq and is a predicted model, not a curated record. Lineage: Eukaryota; Metazoa; Chordata; Mammalia; Rodentia; Sciuridae.